This 372-nucleotide ribosomal RNA is filed under the name uncultured organism. RNAcentral describes it as "partial 16S ribosomal RNA". It matches the Rfam family "Bacterial small subunit ribosomal RNA", at positions 527 to 896 of the family's 1533-position model. The record is from RNAcentral.
GUAGGUGGCAAGCGUUGUCCGGAAUUAUUGGGCGUAAAGCGCGCGCAGGCGGUUCUUUAAGUCUGAUGUGAAAGCCCACGGCUCAACCGUGGAGGGUCAUUGGAAACUGGAGAACUUGAGUACAGAAGAGGAAAGCGGAAUUCCACGUGUAGCGGUGAAAUGCGUAGAGAUGUGGAGGAACACCAGUGGCGAAGGCGGCUUUCUGGUCUGUAACUGACGCUGAGGCGCGAAAGCGUGGGGAGCAAACAGGAUUAGAUACCCUGGUAGCCCACGCCGUAAACGAUGAGUGCUAAGUGUUAGGGGGUUUCCGCCCCCCUUAGUGCUGCAGCUAACGCAUUAAGCACUCCGCCUGGGAGUACGGCCGCAAGGCUG